Molecule: regulatory RNA element, 136 nt
Rfam family: RtT RNA
About the family: This family represents a bacterial cis-regulatory element known as RtT RNA. The exact function of RtT is unknown although it is thought that it may be involved in changing the cellular response in relation to amino acid starvation.
Source: Rfam
UUUUUUUGGUGGUCUGGUUGGUUUAGGAGCCGCGGAGCGGGUUUGAGUCGAGCGCAAGCGACACAUUGCCGCAUCUUGACCGUGGCAAGCCGCAGGGUGAGGAGUGCAGCGACGAGUCAACCCGUCACUGAUAGUG